Molecule: long non-coding RNA, 278 nt
Filed under: Lathyrus oleraceus (garden pea)
Lineage: Eukaryota; Viridiplantae; Streptophyta; Magnoliopsida; Fabales; Fabaceae
Description: Pisum sativum (pea) long non-coding RNA (PSAT_LNC026114)
Source: RNAcentral
UUAAUUUUUGUGUGUUUUAUUAUUAAAUAAUUAUGUAUUUGAGUAUUUAAUUAAUUUGAUGUUGUAUAUACUUAAUUUUGUUUUUGUGUAAGAUUAACUUUUAUUAAAUUUUUAUAUAAUCAAGUUUAAUUAUCAUCAUAAACUAAAAUAACCUAACUUUACAAAAUUCUAUUCCCUGUAAAAAAAAAUUAUACAAUUAUCACAAUUUUGUUUUACAUCUAAUUAACAUAUUAUCUUGCCAAAACUCAUAAACAUAAUCCUAAUAACCUAAAACAAAA